RNAcentral lists this ribosomal RNA (574 nucleotides) under Neoscytalidium hyalinum. RNAcentral's name for it is "eukaryotic LSU rRNA". The stretch from base 212 to 365 matches the Rfam family "5.8S ribosomal RNA". Lineage: Eukaryota; Fungi; Ascomycota; Dothideomycetes; Botryosphaeriales; Botryosphaeriaceae. The record is from RNAcentral.
CUUCCGUAGGGUGAACCUGCGGAAGGAUCAUUACCGAGUUGAUUCGGGCUCCGGCCCGAUCCUCCCACCCUUUGUGUACCCACCUCUGUUGCUUUGGCGGGCCGCGGUCCUCCGCGGCCGCCCUCCGUCCGGGGGGUGGCCAGCGCCCGCCAGAGGACCAUCGAACUCCGGUCAGUGAACGUUGCCGUCUGAAAAACAAUCAAUAAACUAAAACUUUCAACAACGGAUCUCUUGGUUCUGGCAUCGAUGAAGAACGCAGCGAAAUGCGAUAAGUAAUGUGAAUUGCAGAAUUCAGUGAAUCAUCGAAUCUUUGAACGCACAUUGCGCCCCUCGGUAUUCCGAGGGGCAUGCCUGUUCGAGCGUCAUUACAACCCUCAAGCUCUGCUUGGUGUUGGGCACCGCCCUUCCGCGGGCGCGCCUCAAAGACCUCGGCGGUGGCGUCUUGCCUCGAGCGUAGUAGAAAACACCUCGCUUUGGAGCGCACGGCGCCGCCCGCCGGACGAACCUUUUGAACUUUCUCAAGGUUGACCUCGGAUCAGGUAGGGAUACCCGCUGAACUUAAGCAUAUCAAUAA